UACCAGCCCCCUGAGUGGUAAGGACGAUUAUUUGGCUUAAAGCGUCCGUAGCCGGCUUGGUGAGUCUCUUGUUAAAUCCAAUGAUUCAAUCAUUGAACUGCAAGAGAUACUACUAUGCUAGAGGACGGGAGAGGUCGACGGUAGUCCAAGGGUAGGGGUGAAAUCCUAUAAUCCUUGGAGGACCACCAGUGGCGAAGGCGGUCGACUAGAACGCGCCUGACGGUGAGGGACGAAAGCUGGGGGAGCGAACCGGAUUAGAUACCCGGGUAGUCCCAGCUGUAAACGAUGCGGGCUAGGUGUAGGGGCAGCUACGAGCUGCUCCUGUGCCGCAGAGAAAUUGUUAAGCCCGCCGCCUGGGGAUACGAUCGCAAGAUUGAAACUUAAAAGAAUUGGCGGGGAGCACCACAAGGGGUGAAGGCUGCGGUUU
Molecule: ribosomal RNA, 427 nt
Filed under: uncultured archaeon
Lineage: Archaea
Description: bacterial SSU rRNA
Rfam family: Archaeal small subunit ribosomal RNA
Source: RNAcentral